CGGGCCCAGGGUUCUCCUACUGCGCGAAGCGGCAGGACAAUGGUCCUAACCCGAGGGCGAGGCGACGCGGAGACCGAAAGCACCCCGCUGCGGGUGGUGGUCGAGGAGGUGUCUGUCGCCCGCACUUGGCUAGGGAUCGGUAAAUACCAAGUGGCUGACUUACCGCUGCAGUCAGUGCAGCCAGUAGCUACCAGAAAAUUAGAAGUUACGUAUGUGGCUGCAUUAUAUUUCUGUCGGCGGUAGACGUAACCCGAGAGGUCAGGGACCGGCAUUUCAGAAGGGAGCGCAGUGCGGCUUUGGGGAGCCGCUUGACAGACGCGUGCCAGUUCUUCAUGAUAUUUUCUGAUUAAAGUUUUCCGUGCCUCCUCACUUAUGAUAA
Orcinus orca (killer whale) is the source of this 379-nucleotide long non-coding RNA. RefSeq lists it as uncharacterized. Lineage: Eukaryota; Metazoa; Chordata; Mammalia; Artiodactyla; Delphinidae. The record is from RefSeq and is a predicted model, not a curated record. The transcript is spliced from 2 exons.